GGGUCGGUACCGAAGUGGUCAAACGGGGCGGACUGUAAAUCCGCUGGCUCUGCCUUCGAAGGUUCAAGUCCUUCCCGGCCCACCA
Molecule: transfer RNA, 85 nt
Filed under: Candidatus Altimarinota bacterium
Lineage: Bacteria; Candidatus Altimarinota
Description: tRNA-Tyr
Rfam family: tRNA
About the family: Transfer RNA (tRNA) molecules are approximately 80 nucleotides in length.
Source: RNAcentral